GAUGAAGAACGUAGCGAAAUGCGAUACGUAAUGUGAAUUGCAGAAUUCAGUGAAUCAUCGAAUCUUUGAACGCAUAUUGCGCUCUCUGGUAUUCCGGAGAGCAUGCUUGUUUGAGUAUCAGUAAACACCUCAACUCCCUUUUCUUUUUUGAAAUUGGAGCUGGACUUGAGUGAUCCCAACGCUUUCUUCCAAGAAAGUGGCGGGUUGCUUGAAAUGCAGGUGCAGCUGAACUUUUCUCUGAGCUAUAAGCAUAUCUAUUUAGUCUGCCUAAAAAACAGAUUAUUACCUUUGCUGCAGCUAACAUAAAGGAGACUAGUUCUUGUGCUGACUGAUGCAGGAUUCACAGAGACAGCUUCGGCUGACUUUGUAAACUCGACCUCAAAUCAAGUAAGACUACCCGCUGAACUUAAGCAUAUCAAUAAGCGGAGGA
This 430-nucleotide unclassified non-coding RNA is filed under the name soil metagenome. RNAcentral describes it as "partial contains 5.8S ribosomal RNA, internal transcribed spacer 2, and large subunit ribosomal RNA". The stretch from base 1 to 120 matches the Rfam family "5.8S ribosomal RNA", at positions 35 to 154 of the family's 154-position model. The record is from RNAcentral.